UAACCAUAUAAGUAGGCGGUGGAAAAUGAACCAAAUGGGAUUCCUUAAGUAAUUGCGAAUGAACAAGGAAAUGCUCAGCUUGAAAAAUGGGGCCUUUGGCUUUGAAUUGUAAUUUUGAAAUGUAUUGCCAAUGGAGGCGCAGGUGCAAGCCUAUUGAAAGAAAGCGUCAAUGAGGGUGAGAUUCCUUUUUGUCAUUUGCAGUCCUCCGUGCACGGUAUAUAUUUGACGAGUCACACUCCUCGGCAUUGGAAUGCAAAGUGGGUGGUAAAUUCCAUGUAAAGGUAAAUAUAUUAUUGAGACUGAUAGCAAACAAGUACCAUGAGGGAAAUAUGAAAAGGACUUUGAAAAGAGAAUUAAAAGAGUCUGCAUUUGCUGAACAGAAAGCAAACAGAAUUGAUUUUACUUGGUGAGAUUGUUGUGCUUACUCUAUCAUUUAUAUGGUUGAUGUGGGUGCGAUGGUUCUUACCUUGAAUGUCAGCUUCUAUUUCUGCAAAUCAUUACCCUUGCACAUGAAUGGUAAUUUGCCUGCGGGUAUUGGAAUGCAUGUGUUUGCAAUGAUUUGUGAUUUGACGCAUGUGUUUGGUGAAAUUUGUAUAUGCUCUUUUGUCGAAGGGGAAAGCUUACUUUUUUGAGCAUUGCAAGCCCUUACACAUCAGUGCUGGCAAAAUGUUUCUGCUUGACCCCUCUUGAAACACGG
Molecule: ribosomal RNA, 697 nt
Filed under: Alexandrium minutum
Lineage: Eukaryota; Dinophyceae; Gonyaulacales; Pyrocystaceae
Description: eukaryotic LSU rRNA
Rfam family: Eukaryotic large subunit ribosomal RNA
Source: RNAcentral